GAUUUCUGGUCUGAUGCGCCUGGCCGACCGGGUUUACCCGGCCAGUGUCGGUGUGUGUCUGCCAUCUUUCUAGUUAACCAGCUGCACUUAACUGGGCGGUUGGCGAUCUAGAUCUUUUACUUUGAAAAAAUUAGAGUGUUUAAAGCAGGCUUGCGCUAUGAAUACAUUAGCAUGGAAUAAUAAUUUAGGACUUCGGUUCUAUUUUGUUGGUUUCUAGGACUGAAGUAAUGAUUGAUAGGGAUAGUUGGGGGUGCUAGUAUUCAGCGGCCAGAGGUGAAAUUCUCGGAUUCGCUGAAGACUAACUUAUGCGAAAGCAUU
This 318-nucleotide ribosomal RNA is filed under the name uncultured Paracercomonas. Its description in RNAcentral is "SSU rRNA". The stretch from base 100 to 318 matches the Rfam family "Eukaryotic small subunit ribosomal RNA", at positions 735 to 955 of the family's 1831-position model. Lineage: Eukaryota; Cercozoa; Cercomonadida; Cercomonadidae. The record is from RNAcentral.